RNAcentral lists this ribosomal RNA (486 nucleotides) under uncultured bacterium. RNAcentral's name for it is "partial 16S ribosomal RNA". It matches the Rfam family "Bacterial small subunit ribosomal RNA", at positions 28 to 507 of the family's 1533-position model. The record is from RNAcentral.
GAUGAACGCUAGCGGCAGGCUUAACACAUGCAAGUCGAGGGGCAGCGCGGGAUAGCAAUAUCCUGGCGGCGACCGGCGGAAGGGUGCGUAACGCGUGCGCGACAUGCCCGUUGCCCGGGGACAACCGGUGGAAACGCCGACUAAUCCCAGAUGGGAUAUUGUGCCGCAUGGCACGAUAUUGAAAGUUACGGCGGCGACGGAUUGGCUCGCGUCCGGUUAGCUUGUUGGCGGGGUGACGGCCCACCACGGCUGCGAUCGGUAGGGGUUCUGAGAGGAAGGCCCCCCACAAUGGGACUGAGGCACGGCCCAUACACCGACGGGAGGCAGCAGUGAUGAAUGAUGGUCAAUGGGCGGAAGCCUGAACCAGCCAGGCCGCGUGCGGGAAGGAGGCCCUAUGGGCUGUGAACCGCUUUUGCCUGGGGGCAAUAAGGGCGUCGCGCACGUCCGAUGAGAGUACCAGGCGAAUAAGCAUCGGCUAACUCCGUG